Molecule: ribosomal RNA, 847 nt
Filed under: Lacticaseibacillus rhamnosus
Lineage: Bacteria; Bacillati; Bacillota; Bacilli; Lactobacillales; Lactobacillaceae
Description: bacterial SSU rRNA
Rfam family: Bacterial small subunit ribosomal RNA
Source: RNAcentral
GUCGAACGAGUUCUGAUUAUUGAAAGGUGCUUGCAUCUUGAUUUAAUUUUGAACGAGUGGCGGACGGGUGAGUAACACGUGGGUAACCUGCCCUUAAGUGGGGGAUAACAUUUGGAAACAGAUGCUAAUACCGCAUAAAUCCAAGAACCGCAUGGUUCUUGGCUGAAAGAUGGCGUAAGCUAUCGCUUUUGGAUGGACCCGCGGCGUAUUAGCUAGUUGGUGAGGUAACGGCUCACCAAGGCAAUGAUACGUAGCCGAACUGAGAGGUUGAUCGGCCACAUUGGGACUGAGACACGGCCCAAACUCCUACGGGAGGCAGCAGUAGGGAAUCUUCCACAAUGGACGCAAGUCUGAUGGAGCAACGCCGCGUGAGUGAAGAAGGCUUUCGGGUCGUAAAACUCUGUUGUUGGAGAAGAAUGGUCGGCAGAAUAACUGUUGUCGGCGUGACGGUAUCCAACCAGAAAGCCACGGCUAACUACGUGCCAGCAGCCGCGGUAAUACGUAGGUGGCAAGCGUUAUCCGGAUUUAUUGGGCGUAAAGCGAGCGCAGGCGGUUUUUUAAGUCUGAUGUGAAAGCCCUCGGCUUAACCGAGGAAGUGCAUCGGAAACUGGGAAACUUGAGUGCAGAAGAGGACAGUGGAACUCCAUGUGUAGCGGUGAAAUGCGUAGAUAUAUGGAAGAACACCAGUGGCGAAGGCGGCUGUCUGGUCUGUAACUGACGCUGAGGCUCGAAAGCAUGGGUAGCGAACAGGAUUAGAUACCCUGGUAGUCCAUGCCGUAAACGAUGAAUGCUAGGUGUUGGAGGGUUUCCGCCCUUCAGUGCCGCAGCUAACGCAUUAAGCAUUCCG